Molecule: ribosomal RNA, 117 nt
Filed under: Pteropus alecto (black flying fox)
Lineage: Eukaryota; Metazoa; Chordata; Mammalia; Chiroptera; Pteropodidae
Source: RNAcentral
GUCUACGGCCAUGCUACCCAGAACAAGCUCGAUCCUGUCCGAUCUCGAAGUUAAGCAGGAUCAUGCCUGAUUAGUACUUGGAUGGGAGACUACCAAGGAGGACCUGUUCUGUAGACA